RNAcentral lists this ribosomal RNA (780 nucleotides) under Micrococcus sp. DWS64. Its description in RNAcentral is "bacterial SSU rRNA". It matches the Rfam family "Bacterial small subunit ribosomal RNA", at positions 114 to 905 of the family's 1533-position model. The record is from RNAcentral. Lineage: Bacteria; Bacillati; Actinomycetota; Actinomycetes; Micrococcales; Micrococcaceae.
CACGUGAGUAACCUGCCCUUAACUCUGGGAUAAGCCUGGGAAACUGGGUCUAAUACCGGAUAGGAGCGCCCACCGCAUGGUGGGUGUUGGAAAGAUUUAUCGGUUUUGGAUGGACUCGCGGCCUAUCAGCUUGUUGGUGAGGUAAUGGCUCACCAAGGCGACGACGGGUAGCCGGCCUGAGAGGGUGACCGGCCACACUGGGACUGAGACACGGCCCAGACUCCUACGGGAGGCAGCAGUGGGGAAUAUUGCACAAUGGGCGAAAGCCUGAUGCAGCGACGCCGCGUGAGGGAUGACGGCCUUCGGGUUGUAAACCUCUUUCAGUAGGGAAGAAGCGAAAGUGACGGUACCUGCAGAAGAAGCACCGGCUAACUACGUGCCAGCAGCCGCGGUAAUACGUAGGGUGCGAGCGUUAUCCGGAAUUAUUGGGCGUAAAGAGCUCGUAGGCGGUUUGUCGCGUCUGUCGUGAAAGUCCGGGGCUUAACCCCGGAUCUGCGGUGGGUACGGGCAGACUAGAGUGCAGUAGGGGAGACUGGAAUUCCUGGUGUAGCGGUGGAAUGCGCAGAUAUCAGGAGGAACACCGAUGGCGAAGGCAGGUCUCUGGGCUGUAACUGACGCUGAGGAGCGAAAGCAUGGGGAGCGAACAGGAUUAGAUACCCUGGUAGUCCAUGCCGUAAACGUUGGGCACUAGGUGUGGGGACCAUUCCACGGUUUCCGCGCCGCAGCUAACGCAUUAAGUGCCCCGCCUGGGGGAGUACGGCCGCAAGGCUAAAACUCAAA